GGAGGGAUACUCAAGCCUGGUUUAAGAGGAUUGCCUUUUUAGGCAAUUAGGAGCAGUAAUGCUUGCGUUGGUUCAAAUCCUUCUCCCUCCG
This 91-nucleotide transfer RNA is filed under the name Staphylococcus sp. RNAcentral's name for it is "tRNA-Lys". It matches the Rfam family "tRNA". Rfam says of the family: Transfer RNA (tRNA) molecules are approximately 80 nucleotides in length. Their secondary structure includes four short double-helical elements and three loops (D, anti-codon, and T loops). Further hydrogen bonds mediate the characteristic L-shaped molecular structure. tRNAs have two regions of fundamental functional importance: the anti-codon, which is responsible for specific mRNA codon recognition, and the 3' end, to which the tRNAs corresponding amino acid is attached (by aminoacyl-tRNA synthetases). tRNAs cope with the degeneracy of the genetic code in two manners: having more than one tRNA (with a specific anti-codon) for a particular amino acid; and 'wobble' base-pairing, i.e. permitting non-standard base-pairing at the 3rd anti-codon position. RNAcentral also lists the same sequence under 1 other name. The record is from RNAcentral. Lineage: Bacteria; Bacillati; Bacillota; Bacilli; Caryophanales; Staphylococcaceae.